UGAUUCGAACGUCUUGGCGUAAUUGUCGGAAUAUUAUAUUGUGGAAAAAGGCAAUCUCUUUUUUUUUAGUUUUGCGAGAGAUUUGCUUUCGGUACAGACGUUAAUAUUAUAUACUCGAAUUUAAUCGUAGCAAAUGGCAGUUAAAAGAAAAAAAUAAAAUGAUGUGUAUAUUUAGUGAAGAUGGAAAUUUAACAAAUACUGUACAGUAAGCAACAACAUACAGCAUCCAUCAAGUUAUAGGAAUUGUACACAUGACUAUAUUUAUGGUUACGGCAUCAUCGUCAGUUCCUAAAGUAGCCAACACCAGAUUUCUCUGCACUUAAAACAGUUUCCCAAGUUAACGCAAAAACAAAAAAAAACAAAAAGCAAAUGAAAAUUAACUGAUGUUUUUUUGCAACUCAGUAGAAGUUGCUGUGAAUGCUUGCAACCGCAAUACCCAGAAGCUAACAUAGACACUUGUUAACGACAACAAUAACAAAAAUAA
Long non-coding RNA from Teleopsis dalmanni, 484 nucleotides. RefSeq lists it as uncharacterized. The transcript is spliced from 2 exons. Lineage: Eukaryota; Metazoa; Arthropoda; Insecta; Diptera; Diopsidae. The record is from RefSeq and is a predicted model, not a curated record.